Molecule: ribosomal RNA, 451 nt
Filed under: uncultured bacterium
Lineage: Bacteria
Description: bacterial SSU rRNA
Rfam family: Bacterial small subunit ribosomal RNA
Source: RNAcentral
GACGAACGCUGGCGGUGUGCUUCACACAUGCAAGUCGAACGAGGUAGCAAUACCUAGUGGCGGACGGGUGAGUAACGCGUGGGAAUCUGCCUUUAGAUGGGGGAUAACGGGUCGAAAGACUCGCUAAUACCGCAUAUGACGAAAGUUGAAAGGAGUAAUCCGUCUAAAGAUGAGCCCGCGUCCGAUUAGCUAGUUGGUAGAGUAAAAGCCUACCAAGGCGACGAUCCGGUAGCUGGUCUGAGAGGAUGAUCAGCCACAAUGGGACUAGAGACACGGCCCAUACUCCUACGGGAGGCAGCAGUGGGAAUUUUACGCAAUGGCGAAAGCCUGACGUAGCGACACCGCGUGAGCGAAGAAGCCCCUUGGGGUGUAAAGCUCUGUCAGCUGGACGAAAAAAUGACGGUACCAGCAGAGGAAGCAUCGGCUAACUACGUGCCAGCAGCCGCGGUAA